CAUGGCAUAACCGUGGUAAUUCUACAGCUAAUACAUGAGCAAAAUCUCAACUUUAUUAGAAGAGACGCAUUUAUUAGAUAAAAAGCCAAUGCAUGCUUUUACAGUAUGGAAAUUGGUGAUUUAUAAUAACUUGGCAAAUCGCAAAGUGAAAACAGGCGAUAAAUCAUUCAAGUUUCUGACCUAUCAGCUUUCGACGGUAUGGUAUUGGCUUACCGUGGCAGUGACGGUUAACGGGGGAUUAGGGUUCGAUUCCGGAGAGGGAGCCUGAGAAACGGCUACCACAUCUAAGGAAGGCAGCAGGCGCGCAAAUUACCCAAUUCUAACAGUUUGAGAGAGGUAGUAACAAGAAAUAACAAUACAAGGCAAUUAAAAUGCUUUGUAAUUGGAAUGAUAGAAAUUUAAACCCUUUUUAAAGUAUCAAUUGGAGGGCAAGUCUGGUGCCAGCAGCCGCGGUAAUUCCAGCUCCAAUAGCGUAUAUUAAAAUUGUUGCAGUUAAAAAGCUCGUAGUUGAAGUUCUGCUAAAAGUAACCGGUCUGCUUUUAAUAAAAGUGGUAUCUUGGUGUGUAUUUAGCAAUGAUGUCCUUUGAAGUGUUUUUUACUUUAUUGUAAUAAAGCAUAUUCAGGACUUUUACUU
RNAcentral lists this ribosomal RNA (634 nucleotides) under Hepatozoon canis. RNAcentral's name for it is "SSU rRNA". It matches the Rfam family "Eukaryotic small subunit ribosomal RNA", at positions 138 to 757 of the family's 1831-position model. The record is from RNAcentral. Lineage: Eukaryota; Apicomplexa; Hepatozoidae.